GCGCCUGUAGCUCAACUGGACAGAGCGUCUGACUUCGGAUCAGAGGGUUGGGGGUUCGAAUCCCUCCAGGCGUGC
Molecule: transfer RNA, 75 nt
Filed under: Gammaproteobacteria bacterium
Lineage: Bacteria; Pseudomonadati; Pseudomonadota; Gammaproteobacteria
Description: tRNA-Arg
Rfam family: tRNA
About the family: Transfer RNA (tRNA) molecules are approximately 80 nucleotides in length. Their secondary structure includes four short double-helical elements and three loops (D, anti-codon, and T loops). Further hydrogen bonds mediate the characteristic L-shaped molecular structure. tRNAs have two regions of fundamental functional importance: the anti-codon, which is responsible for specific mRNA codon recognition, and the 3' end, to which the tRNAs corresponding amino acid is attached (by aminoacyl-tRNA synthetases). tRNAs cope with the degeneracy of the genetic code in two manners: having more than one tRNA (with a specific anti-codon) for a particular amino acid; and 'wobble' base-pairing, i.e. permitting non-standard base-pairing at the 3rd anti-codon position.
Source: RNAcentral